This is a long non-coding RNA of Pygocentrus nattereri (red-bellied piranha), 1020 nucleotides long. Lineage: Eukaryota; Metazoa; Chordata; Actinopteri; Characiformes; Serrasalmidae. The record is from Ensembl.
UUGUUUUCAUGUCCUUUUUGGCAGAAUUUGCCUCCCAUAAUGUAGUGUCCUGAAGGAGCACUACCAGACGCUACUGGACACCGCCAGGAAGAAGACGGACGCCAGGAUCGUCAUCUCCGGCCCUCUUCCCACCUACCGGCGGGGAUCCGAGCGGUUCAGCAGGCUCUUCGCGCUGCAGUCCUGGCUCCGCGGCUGGUGCGCCUGCAACGGUUUGGGCUACGUGGACAACUGGUCUUCGUUUUGGGAGCAGCCAGCGCUCUACCGGAGGGAUGGGCUUCACCCUAGUCCUCUGGGGUCCGUCGUCCUCUCAGGGAACAUCGAGAGGGCCAUCCGCUGACUUCAAAGCGGCCACAUUUGUUUCUAACAGGAUGUGUCUCCUUGUACUUUGCGAUGAUGUAAUGUUUUGGACACCUUGAAAUGCUUGGAAAUGGCAGUAUAGCUGUCUGGACCAGAGAAAACCCAUGCAGACAUGGGGAGAACAUGCAAACUCCAUACAGAGAGGACCCCGGUCGCCCGGCCGUCUACACCACAGGUCCAGUAUAUUUGGAAUGAAGUAUGCAAGUGAGAAGGUAUAUAUGAAUAUAUGAUUUGUUUAAAUUAAUUUAUUAAUAUUCAUAAAUGAAAUUUAAAAAUGUUGUUCUCUGAGCUCGCUUAAUAACAAAGCUAAAGAAAAUGUCUUUGCAUUGAUCAAACCAAAAAAAUAAAGAUAAAUUUUGUCAUUUAUCAUAUUAAAUUCAGUCUUUUAGCCACCUGCUAUGACUUAUUUUUAACAAAACAAAAGAAAAUCCAAAUUUGAUUUGUAUGGAAACUGUAUGAAAUUCAAAUAUCUGGUUAAAAGCUGAUCCAGACUAUAACUACACUCUCAGAAAAAAGGUAGGACACUGUCAUUGGGGCAGUACCCUUGUUUUCACUGUAGUGGUACCCUCAGGGGUACAUAACUGAACCAUGAUCCACUGAAAUUAUAUUUUCUACUAUGUACUGACUCCACACAACACACCUCACUGCCAGGCUUUUUAUUAA